GUACUUCCAGUUUUUACACUGCAUCUACUGUUGGAAGAAGUGUACGGCUGACUAAAAUACUUUCACUGUGAAUAUGAAUCACUCCGUAGCCAAGAGGACAAGGAACGUGCCGAAAGGAGAAAUGGGUGGUGGAGCGUGAGCUGAAGUUCUGCGGAAACCUAACCAAAACAGCCCAGCAGCAAGCACAGGGACAGCAGCAGCGUAUGUCUCAGUGAGGAUCGCCGGCUGAUUUAUUUUUCUAUAUAUUCAUUUGUUUCCAUGAAAUGUUUUGCUGAUCCCACAAGAGUGGAGGUCCGGAAGUAAAGAAGGAAAUUGGGAAUAAUUCUGCUGAAACCCGUGGAUUUACGCUGCUUUGAUCUUGGCUUAAGUGCGAAGAGACUCAGAUGGAUCGAGCCUGCUCCAGAGCCCUCCGGCGUCAGCGGAAAGGCUGCCAGCAAGCGCUGAACCGAAGCCACGGUCCUUGCCCCAAGGAUUUUACAAUCUGUGGAAGAUUAAUCUUUUGUCUCCGCUUUGCUCCUCUGAGAUGGGGAAAAAACUAUAUUUGCUGGAAACGCUCAAAGAGCAGCCAGUUUUCUGGUAGACGCGAUGGCUUCUGCCCCGGCCCAGACACGGAAAGCAGCAAGGGAUGCGGCACGCUAACCGCGCUUUUAAGGACCGUCAGCGACGGCUAUGGCUUGCAGGACGGGAGAAAACGCCGGGGGCUUUCAGUCCACGGCAUUUCAUCCGCUUCGGUUCUGCGGCCACACAUUUUCGGGUCCGCAUCCACACGCCUUGCUCGGAUCGAAUCCCUUCUUCGUCCAGAAGGGAGUUACAGGUUUUGCUGGAUACAAGAGCAAGCCAUACAAUUUGUGUACUUAAUAUCAACAGUAUGCUCUGUUUAG
RNAcentral lists this long non-coding RNA (881 nucleotides) under Apteryx owenii (little spotted kiwi). RNAcentral describes it as "lncRNA (ENSAOWG00000017907.1)". Lineage: Eukaryota; Metazoa; Chordata; Aves; Apterygiformes; Apterygidae. The record is from RNAcentral.